GCCAGGGGAGCAUGGGUGGUUCAUGCACUCGACUUGUAAUCGAGACUCCCGGGGUUCAAAUCCCUGCUCUGGCU
Transfer RNA from Halostagnicola sp. A56, 74 nucleotides. It matches the Rfam family "tRNA". From Rfam's summary of the family: Transfer RNA (tRNA) molecules are approximately 80 nucleotides in length. Their secondary structure includes four short double-helical elements and three loops (D, anti-codon, and T loops). The record is from Rfam. Lineage: Archaea; Methanobacteriati; Methanobacteriota; Halobacteria; Halobacteriales; Natrialbaceae.